UGCCAGCGAUCCGCCGGCGUUCCUCCGAUGACCCGGCGGGCAGCUUCCGGGAAACCAGAGCCUUUGGGUUCCGGGGGAAGUAUGGUUGCAAAGCUGAAACUUAAAGGAAUUGACGGAAGGGCACCACCAGGAGUGGAGCCUGCGGCUUAAUUUGACUCAACACGGGAAAACUCACCAGGCCCGGACACCGGAAGGAUUGACAGAUUGAGAGCUCUUUCUUGAUUCGGUGGGUGGUGGUGCAUGGCCGUUCUUAGUUGGUGGAGCGAUUUGUCUGGUUAAUUCCGAUAACGAACGAGACUCUAGCCUACUAACUAGACGCAUCCGGUAUCCUUGAAUUGUGCUACCGGCGAUCAAAUCUCUUCUUAGAGGGACAGGCGGCUUCUAGCCGCACGAGACUGAGCAAUAACAGGUCUGUGAUGCCCUUAGAUGUCCUGGGCCGCACGCGCGCUACACUGAACGAGACAGCGUGUCUUCCCUGUCCGAAAGGACCGGGUAACCCGCUGAACCUCAUUCGUGCUAGGGAUUGGGGCUUGCAAUUGUUCCCCAUGAACGAGGAAUUCCCAGUAAGCGCGAGUCAUAAGCUCGCGUUGAUUACGUCCCUGCCCUUUGUACACACCGCCCGUCGCUACUACCGAUUGAAUGAUUUAGUGAGGUCUUCAGACCGGGGCGCGAAGACGACGCAAGUCGCCUCCGAUGUUGUCGGAAAGAUGACCAAACUUGAUCAUUUAGAGGAAGUAAAAGUCGUAACAAGGUUUCCGUA
This 760-nucleotide ribosomal RNA is filed under the name Bothriocera sp. 1 PCC-2008. Its description in RNAcentral is "SSU rRNA". It matches the Rfam family "Eukaryotic small subunit ribosomal RNA", at positions 1044 to 1807 of the family's 1831-position model. Lineage: Eukaryota; Metazoa; Arthropoda; Insecta; Hemiptera; Cixiidae. The record is from RNAcentral.